RNAcentral lists this ribosomal RNA (308 nucleotides) under uncultured bacterium. RNAcentral's name for it is "partial 16S ribosomal RNA". It matches the Rfam family "Bacterial small subunit ribosomal RNA", at positions 505 to 807 of the family's 1533-position model. The record is from RNAcentral.
GAGACAGCAGCCGCCGCGGUAAUACGAAGGGGGCUAGCGUUGCUCGGAAUGACUGGGCGUAAAGGGCGCGUAGGCGGAUUGUUUAGUUAGGCGUGAAAUUCCUGGGCUUAACCUGGGGACUGCGCUUAAUACAGGCAGUCUAGAGUGAGGAAGAGGGUUGUGGAAUUCCCAGCGUAGAGGUGAAAUUCGUAGAUAUUGGGAAGAACACCGGUGGCGAAGGCGGCAACCUGGUCCUUGACUGACGCUGAGGUGCGAAAGCGUGGGGAGCAAACAGGAUUAGAUACCCCCGUAGUCCCUGUCUCUUAUAC